UACGUAGGGUGCAAGCGUUGUCCGGAUUUAUUGGGCGUAAAGAGCUCGUAGGCGGCUUGUCGCGUCGACUGUGAAAACUUGGGGCUCAACCCCAAGCUUGCAGUCGAUACGGGCAGGCUAGAGUUCGGUAGGGGAGACUGGAAUUCCUGGUGUAGCGGUGAAAUGCGCAGAUAUCAGGAGGAACACCGAUGGCGAAGGCAGGUCUCUGGGCCGAUACUGACGCUGAGGAGCGAAAGCGUGGGGAGCGAACAGG
Molecule: ribosomal RNA, 253 nt
Filed under: uncultured bacterium
Lineage: Bacteria
Description: partial 16S ribosomal RNA
Rfam family: Bacterial small subunit ribosomal RNA
Source: RNAcentral